This 497-nucleotide ribosomal RNA is filed under the name uncultured bacterium. RNAcentral's name for it is "partial 16S ribosomal RNA". It matches the Rfam family "Bacterial small subunit ribosomal RNA", at positions 28 to 507 of the family's 1533-position model. The record is from RNAcentral.
GAUGAACGCUGGCGGCGUGCCUAAUACAUGCAAGUCGAGCGAACAGGCGAGGAGCUUGCUCCUCUGACGUUAGCGGCGGACGGGUGAGUAACACGUGGAUAACCUACCUAUAAGACUGGGAUAACUUCGGGAAACCGGAGCUAAUACCGGAUAAUAUAUUGAACCGCAUGGUUCAAUAGUGAAAGACGGUUUUGCUGUCACUUAUAGAUGCAUCCGGGCCGCAUUAGCUAGUUGGUAAGGUAACGGCUUACCAAGGCAACGAUGCGUAGCCGACGUGAGAGGGUGAUCGGCCACACUGGGACUGAGACACGGUCCAGACUCCUACGGGAGGCAGCAGUAGGGAAUCUUCCGCAAUGGGCGAAAGCCUGACGGAGCAACGCCGCGUGAGUGAUGAAGGUCUUCGGAUCGUAAAACUCUGUUAUUAGGGAAGAACAAAUGUGUAAGUAACUAUGCACGUCUUGACGGUACCUAAUCAGAAAGCCACGGCUAACUACGUG